Molecule: ribosomal RNA, 700 nt
Filed under: uncultured eukaryote
Lineage: Eukaryota
Description: partial 18S ribosomal RNA
Rfam family: Eukaryotic small subunit ribosomal RNA
Source: RNAcentral
UUAUUAUCAUAUAUUUUUAGUGGUAGUGURAKGGUUGUUGGAAGUUGUCGCSKGCGGUCGUUAUGUUUGUUUGCCUUUACACYCCCCURAUAGCGUCUUGGCCGUUGUUCCGCCUCUCCAGCUACAAUAGMGUAUAUUAAAGUUGUUGCAGUUAAAAAGCUAGUAGUUGGAUUUCGGAAGGUCCUUAGUAAUCCGUCCCUUUGGGGAGCGGGUUGCUGGCCUCCUAUGUUCCUAACGGSCCUCAUCCGMGAGGGUGGGGAAUCAACCGCUAGGAUCGUUUMCUUUGAGGAAAWUAGAGUGUUCAAAGCAGGSGUAACUYGCCUYCGAAUACGUUAGCAUGGGAUAAUGGAAUASGACUUCGGUCUUGUUUCGUUGGUUUYGCUKGGCUGAAGUAAUGAUUGAUAGGGACAGUUGGGGGCAUUAGUAUUUAGUUGUCAGAGGUGAAAUUCUAGGAUUUACUAAAGACUGACCAAUGCGAAAGCAUUUGCCAAGGAUGUUUUCAUUAAUCAAGAACGAAAGUAGGGGGAUUGAAGRCGAUCAGAUWCCGUYGUAGUYUYUACCSUWAAMUAWGCCGRCCAGGGAUCCGGAGAGUKUGCAUGGAWGACUCCCCGGGCACCUUGUGAGAAAUCAUAAGUGUUUGGGUUUGGGGGGAGUAUGGUCGCAAGGCUGAAACUAAAGAAUGACGAACGCCCCMMAAAGC